AUUGAACGCUGGCGGCAGGCUUAACACAUGCAAGUCGAGCGGGGUGAUGGUGCUUGCACUAUCACUUAGCGGCGGACGGGUGAGUAAUGCUUAGGAAUCUGCCAAUUAGUGGGGGACAACAUCUCGAAAGGGAUGCUAAUACCGCAUACGUCCUACGGGAGAAAGCAGGGGAUCACUUGUGACCUUGCGCUAAUAGAUGAGCCUAAGUCGGAUUAGCUAGUUGGUGGGGUAAAGGCCUACCAAGGCGACGAUCUGUAGCGGGUCUGAGAGGAUGAGCCGCCACACUGGGACUGAGACACGGCCCAGACUCCUACGGGAGGCAGCAGUGGGGAAUAUUGGACAAUGGGGGGAACCCUGAUCCAGCCAUGCCGCGUGUGUGAAGAAGGCCUUAUGGUUGUAAAGCACUUUAAGCGAGGAGGAGGCUCUUUUGGUUAAUACCCAAGAUGAGUGGACGUUACUCGCAGAAUAAGCACCGGCUAACUCUGUGCCAGCAGCCGCAGUAA
This 503-nucleotide ribosomal RNA is filed under the name uncultured bacterium. Its description in RNAcentral is "partial 16S ribosomal RNA". It matches the Rfam family "Bacterial small subunit ribosomal RNA", at positions 30 to 523 of the family's 1533-position model. The record is from RNAcentral.